Aquila chrysaetos chrysaetos is the source of this 126-nucleotide long non-coding RNA. RefSeq lists it as uncharacterized. The transcript is spliced from 3 exons. The record is from RefSeq and is a predicted model, not a curated record. Lineage: Eukaryota; Metazoa; Chordata; Aves; Accipitriformes; Accipitridae.
CAAAUGCAUUUACAAACUUAAAGCAUAAACAAUAUUCACUUACCCCUCCAGGUAAGGGCUCUCAAUCCCAGGGAAUUUACCUCGACCGGCGUCCCGAUCAAGGGGGGGAAGGCAUGUGUGUGUUUC